This is a long non-coding RNA of Equus caballus (horse), 592 nucleotides long. RefSeq lists it as uncharacterized. The record is from RefSeq and is a predicted model, not a curated record. Lineage: Eukaryota; Metazoa; Chordata; Mammalia; Perissodactyla; Equidae.
CUCCGUGCUCUCCACUUAGUCCUGAGCUGAUUCCAACCCCAGAGGCGUCAGUCGGCUCUAUAAAUUCCUUUGUGAAACCUGAGAUCCCGGGCUCCGAAGGCGAGCAAAGAUCUUGGAGGGGUUACAGUUUCCCUCCUCCCUGAAGAUCUGCUUGUGUUGGCAGCGGAAGAGCGUGUUUUUCCGAACAGGCUCUUCCCUUUCUUAUGUGAAUUCAGUUCAGAAAGCACUGCCAGCCUCCUUCCAAGCGGGAGAGGAACAUCUUGACAUUUCCAGUGGGAUCGUGGCAGGUGGUGAGAAAGCAGGUCACCGGUAAGCCCUUCUGGCUGAGUGACUCUUCUUUCCCCAAACCCUGCCCAGCUGGCAGCACCAAAGACAGAUGCGCCAGAGACAGCACCGCCCGCAGGAGCCUCCUUCUGUGGCGUUCCUGUGGUUCCCGGGGAGCUCUGAAAACUGCUGACUGGCAGGGCGCUGUGCCAGGCAGACACGCCAGCUCCUGGCUUCUGUCUCCUCCCUCUCUCCCUGACCCCAAGCUGGGGCCGCCUUCUCUUUUGUUUUUUGUCUCAUUAAACAUAUGUUCAUUGAGUGCCCGUUA